Molecule: ribosomal RNA, 484 nt
Filed under: uncultured bacterium
Lineage: Bacteria
Description: partial 16S ribosomal RNA
Rfam family: Bacterial small subunit ribosomal RNA
Source: RNAcentral
AUUGAACGCUGGCGGCAGGCCUAACACAUGCCAGUCGAGCGGAUGAAGGGAGCUUGCUCCUGGAUUCAGCGGCGGACGGGUGAGUAAUGCCUAGGAAUCUGCCUGGUAGUGGGGGAUAACGUCCGGAAACGGGCGCUAAUACCGCAUACGUCCUGAGGGAGAAAGUGGGGGAUCUUCGGACCUCACGCUAUCAGAUGAGCCUAGGUCGGAUUAGCUAGUUGGUGGGGUAAAGGCCUACCAAGGCGACGAUCCGUAACUGGUCUGAUAGGAUGAUCAGUCACACUGGAACUGAGACACGGUCCAGACUCCUACGGGAGGCAGCAGUGGGGAAUAUUGGACAAUGGGCGAAAGCCUGAUCCAGCCAUGCCGCGUGUGUGAAGAAGGUCUUCGGAUUGUAAAGCACUUUAAGUUGGGAGGAAGGGCAGUAAGUUAAUACCUUGCUGUUUUGACGUUACCAACAGAAUAAGCACCGGCUAACUUCGUG